This 319-nucleotide ribosomal RNA is filed under the name Reichenbachiella agariperforans. Its description in RNAcentral is "bacterial LSU rRNA". It matches the Rfam family "Bacterial large subunit ribosomal RNA", at positions 2592 to 2925 of the family's 2925-position model. The record is from RNAcentral. Lineage: Bacteria; Pseudomonadati; Bacteroidota; Cytophagia; Cytophagales; Reichenbachiellaceae.
AGUGGCACGCGAGCUGGGUUCAGAACGUCGUGAGACAGUUCGGUCCCUAUCUGUUGUGGGCGUAAGAAAUUUGAGAGGCUCUGACUUUAGUACGAGAGGACCGAGUUGGACGAACCUCUAGUGUACCGGUUGUGGUGCCAACUGCACCGCCGGGUAGCUACGUUCGGUGAGGAUAAGCGCUGAAAGCAUCUAAGUGCGAAACCCUCCUCAAGAUGAGAUUUCUUUUAAAGGUCGUUAUAGACGAUAACGUUGAUAGGCUGCAGGUGUAAAGGCAGUAAUGUCAAAGCCGAGCAGUACUAAUUACCUGUAAGCUUUUUAU